Molecule: ribosomal RNA, 464 nt
Filed under: uncultured bacterium
Lineage: Bacteria
Description: partial 16S ribosomal RNA
Rfam family: Bacterial small subunit ribosomal RNA
Source: RNAcentral
CUACGGGAUGCACCAGUGGGGAAUAUUGCACAAUGGGCGCAAGCCUGAUGCAGCCAUGCCGCGUGUAUGAAGAAGGCCUUCGGGUUGUAAAGUACUUUCAGCGGGGAGGAAGGGAGUAAAGUUAAUACCUUUGCUCAUUGACGUUACCCGCAGAAGAAGCACCGGCUAACUCCGUGCCAGCAGCCGCGGUAAUACGGGGGGUGCAAGCGUUAAUCGGAAUUACUGGGCGUAAAGCGCACGCAGGCGGUUUGUUAAGUCAGAUGUGAAAUCCCCGGGCUCAACCUGGGAACUGCAUCUGAUACUGGCAAGCUUGAGUCUCGUAGAGGGGGGUAGAGUUCCAGGUGUAGCGGUGAAAUGCGUAGAGAUCUGGAGGAAUACCGGUGGCGAAGGCGGCCCCCUGGACGAAGACUGACGCUCAGGUGCGAAAGCGUGGGGAGCAAACAGGAUUAGAUACCCUCGUAGUC